CGGCGGACGGGUGAGUAACGCGUGGGUAACCUGCCUCAUACAGGGGGAUAACAGUUAGAAAUGGCUGCUAAUACCGCAUAAGCACACAGUACCGCAUGGUACAGUGUGAAAAACUCCGGUGGUAUGAGAUGGACCCGCGUCUGAUUAGCUGGUUGGCGGGGUAACGGCCCACCAAGGCGACGAUCAGUAGCCGACCUGAGAGGGUGACCGGCCACAUUGGGACUGAGACACGGCCCAA
This 238-nucleotide ribosomal RNA is filed under the name uncultured bacterium. RNAcentral describes it as "partial 16S ribosomal RNA". It matches the Rfam family "Bacterial small subunit ribosomal RNA", at positions 96 to 334 of the family's 1533-position model. The record is from RNAcentral.